RNAcentral lists this ribosomal RNA (253 nucleotides) under uncultured bacterium. RNAcentral describes it as "partial 16S ribosomal RNA". It matches the Rfam family "Bacterial small subunit ribosomal RNA", at positions 524 to 776 of the family's 1533-position model. The record is from RNAcentral.
UACGAAGGGGGCUAGCGUUGCUCGGAAUGACUGGGCGUAAAGGGCGCGUAGGCGGCUUGCACCGUCAGAUGUGAAAUCCCCGGGCUUAACCUGGGAAUGGCAUUUGGGACUGCAAGGCUUGAGUGCGGCAGAGGAGACUGGAAUUCCUGGUGUAGCAGUGAAAUGCGUAGAUAUCAGGAGGAAUACCGAUGGCGAAGGCAGGUCUCUGGGCUGACACUGACGCUCAUGCACGAAAGCGUGGGGAGCAAACAGG